Lagenorhynchus albirostris (white-beaked dolphin) is the source of this 1664-nucleotide long non-coding RNA. RefSeq lists it as uncharacterized. The transcript is spliced from 3 exons. NCBI's taxonomy places the organism in Eukaryota, Metazoa, Chordata, Mammalia, Artiodactyla, Delphinidae. The record is from RefSeq and is a predicted model, not a curated record.
UCCACCCUCUUCCUGUGGCCUUCUAUCCCCGGGCCCUCCCUUUCCCUCAUACUUCCCACUCCCCCUUUCACACACCACACCCGCUCCCGGAGCUGCCGGAGGCGCAGGGCCGAGGCACCCCUCCCGGCGCCCGCCCAGAGGAGUCUCGGGAGGUCACUACCUGGCCGCGCUAGGCCCUUCCCACCGGCCCCGGCGGCCGAACCCUCGCCUAGACCCAGGGCCAGGGCCAGCUGCUGCCGGCGCUCGACCGUCCCCGGAGCCACCCGGGCCUGGAGCAGCUGGCUGUCACGCGGGGCCGCUCAGUCCUCGGCAGCAGGAAAAGGACCGGGCUCUCGGUUCCGCGGGUGAGUUUCCAGGAAGCCUUCAAGAUCCAGUUCAAUCUACACCCAUCUGAUGAUGCCUUCCUAACAGAAGUCUUCCCUGGACAGAGUUCCCUCCUCCAUCCUCUGGGCUCUCACACCUUCAACUACGAGGCAUGUGAGAAAAGAGAGGAGGACUUCCCUGGUGGCACAGUAGUUAAUAAUCCACCUGCCAAUGCAGGAGACAUGGGUUCGAUCCCUGGUCCAGGAAGAUCCCACAUGCCACGGAGCAACUAAGCCCAUUCACCACAACUACUGAGCCCGCAUGCCACAACUACUGAAGCCCGUGCACCUAGAGCCCGUGCUCCACAACACGAGAAGCCACCGCAAUGAGAAGCUCCCGCACCGCAACAAAGAGUAGCCCCACCCGCUGCAACUAGAGAAAGCCUGCACACAGCAACGAAGACCCAACACAGCCAAACAUAAAUUAAUUGAUUAAUUAUUUUUAAAAAAAGAGGGGAAAUGCUUCUAGAAGUCCUCUCAGGCAGGUCACACAGACCCAAGCUCCCAGUGAGGCUUAUGAACCUCAGGCUGCUUUGAUCAGUUGCAGCAUGUUCACCUCUCUCAAAGGGCAGGUGAUAUCGGCGUGGCUUUCCACUGUCUUUUUGAGCAGUAGGUAGUAGCUUGGUGCUUCCCAAGCAGUAAACAUUAGUGACAGCUUCCAUAUUGCCUGAGAAAAUCUGCAUUCCGUAAAGCAGGUAAGCCAUCUCAUCUUCCAUACCAUCAAUCAGACUAUAGCUCAGAGCCACUGACAAAGGAUUCACAACCACUUGUAUUUUGUGCCACUUCUCACUCAUCAUUAUUCCUUAGAAUUUUAAGUGACAGGUUUCCACCACUAAGUUGGAAUGUUUCUUAAAGGAAGUGAAAGCAGUGAUAUUGAAUACAAGGAUGUUUAAAUUCCAAACCCUCGUGAGAAUUUUAUAACUAUGAAAUUUUAAAUUCCCCCUGCAUCUAGUGCUAUUGGAAAUGAUAACAAACACUUUAGAAGUCUGUUAUGGACUGAGUGUUUGUGUUCCCCGCCCCCACCAAAUUCAUAUGUUGAAGCCCUGAUCUCCAACGUGAUAGUAUCUGUAGGUGGGGCCUUUGGGAGGUAAUUAUGUAUGAGAGUAGAAACCCUCAUGAAUGGGAUUAGUGCCCUUAUAAGAGGAGACAUGAGGGAGAUGAUCUCCCUCUCUCUCUGCUGUGUGAAGAUACAGUGAGAAGGUGGUCAUCUACAAACCAGAAAGAGGGCCCUAACCAGAACCUGACCUUGCUGACACCCUGAUGCAGCCUCCAGAGCCAUGAGAAAUAAAUUUCUAUGUUAAA